Non-coding RNA from Schistosoma margrebowiei, 45 nucleotides. NCBI's taxonomy places the organism in Eukaryota, Metazoa, Platyhelminthes, Trematoda, Strigeidida, Schistosomatidae. The record is from Rfam.
AUCCAGUUGACGAGUUCCAAAUAGGAUGAAAUAUGUGUCCUGGAU